This 497-nucleotide ribosomal RNA is filed under the name uncultured bacterium. RNAcentral describes it as "partial 16S ribosomal RNA". It matches the Rfam family "Bacterial small subunit ribosomal RNA", at positions 28 to 507 of the family's 1533-position model. The record is from RNAcentral.
GAUGAACGCUGGCGGCGUGCCUAAUACAUGCAAGUCGAGCGAACGGACGAGAAGCUUGUUUCUAUGAUGUUAGCGGCGGACGGGUGAGUAACACGUGGAUAACCUACCUAUAAGACUGGGAUAACUUCGGGAAACCGGAGCUAAUACCGGAUGAUAUUUUGAACCGCAUGGUUCAAGAGUGAAAGACGGUCUUGCUGUCACCUAUAGAUGGAUCCGCGCUGCAUUAGCUAGUUGGUAAGGUAACGGCUUACCAAGGCAACGAUGAAUAGCCGCCCUGAGGGGGGGAUCGGCCCCAUUGGAACUGAGACCCGGUCCAGACUCCUACGGGAGGCAGCAGUAGGGAAUCUUCGGCAAUGGGCGAAAGCCUGACGGAGCAACGCCGCGUGGUUGAGGAAGUUCUUCGGAUCGUAAAACUCUGUUGUUAGGGAAGAACAUAUGUGUAAGUAACUGUGCACAUCUUGACGGUACCUAAUCAGAAAGCCACGGCUAACUACGUG